UGUCGCCAUAGCAACGGCUCCGCCUCACUGAGCAACUGUCAGGCACCUUCCCACCGUUCGCGGGAGUCGGGAGAGUUGAGACAGACACUCAGCUCUGUCUCUAGCAGACGAGCGGCCAUGUCGGACAGAUGAGUCGAUGCUGGUAGUCCCCAUUCACAUUUUGGAUGUGAAACAAAAUUCCAGAACUACUGCGAGGGCGCACUUCUAUUACAAACUCAAGCUCUGCUCCGCUAUGGAAGGAUUCCGCUACAAAACAUAAAGCAUAUUGCUAACCCAGAUGCAUCAGAACAGGAAUAUACUCUUUGAUUCGAUGGAGCAACUGUAUGAGAGUUGAACUUGUGAAGAUAUCUAUUGAUUGUGUAGGGAAUAAACAGUAGUCUCAUGUGAAGGGAAAGCGACUUCUGAUGAAACAGCCAUCUGUCCAAAAGGAUGAGAAAAGCGUUAAGGCCAUGAGCCCUGGAUGACGAGUGCGGAAGCAGUGGAUGAGCUCUUACAUACUGGAUCUAACUGACGCUGGGACUGCAUGCUAUUGCGGCCACAGAAUACAGCUCCUGACAGCCGCUGUUCAAUAGAUCUACAAGGCUGCAAAUCCCGUGGUCUGCUAUAAGCAGCCGUAAGGUUUAAAACACAGAGCACACAAAAAGGUUUUGCACACUGUCCUCUGUCACAGUUGGAACACCGUCUGUCGAUCUGCUAUCCUGUUAAUGAGAAGAAUGAACAUACCUCUGCAGAACGUGUGAAGGAGCACCACCUAUGUAAAUGUCAGUGA
Pseudophryne corroboree (corroboree frog) is the source of this 769-nucleotide long non-coding RNA. RefSeq lists it as uncharacterized. NCBI's taxonomy places the organism in Eukaryota, Metazoa, Chordata, Amphibia, Anura, Myobatrachidae. The transcript is spliced from 4 exons. The record is from RefSeq and is a predicted model, not a curated record.